GAACAUGCGUUUGGACAUGUAAGGAUUUCAGCGGUUCCUGCAAAGCAAACUUCUCUGGAGGAGCCCGAGAGACCUCUUCUGUACAGAAUAGCCUUACACCCCAUAGGGCAGUCUGUCAGCAAUGCAUUUGAAAGGGGAGCACAUAGACUCCAUGUAAACUGCCCAAUGCUUCCCAGAAGGCUGGCGGCCCCUGCAUCGCUCUGAACUGAAGAGGAGCUGAAGUCACAGAAAGCCAGCCACUACUCGAUUGCCCAAGAAGCAGUCGUCGCACUGGCCCAGCUUCACAGCGGCUCUCGAGUGCUGAGAAAACCCACUGGAAGGGCUUCCUUUCCCUACUCUGCACAUGAGAAUAGCCAUUCCUGUGUCAGUUUUG
RNAcentral lists this long non-coding RNA (373 nucleotides) under Homo sapiens (human). RNAcentral's name for it is "HSALNT0299118". Lineage: Eukaryota; Metazoa; Chordata; Mammalia; Primates; Hominidae. The record is from RNAcentral.